This 495-nucleotide ribosomal RNA is filed under the name uncultured bacterium. RNAcentral's name for it is "bacterial SSU rRNA". It matches the Rfam family "Bacterial small subunit ribosomal RNA", at positions 28 to 480 of the family's 1533-position model. The record is from RNAcentral.
GACGAACGCUGGCGGCGUGCCUAAUACAUGCAAGUCGAACGCACUCUCGUUUAGAUUGAAGGAGCUUGCUCCUGAUUGAUAAACAUUUGAGUGAGUGGCGGACGGGUGAGUAACACGUGGGUAACCUGCCCUAAAGUGGGGGAUAACAUUUGGAAACAGAUGCUAAUACCGCAUAAAACCUAACACCGCAUGGUGUAGGGUUGAAAGAUGGUUUCGGCUAUCACUUUAGGAUGGACCCGCGGUGCAUUAGUUAGUUGGUGAGGUAAAGGCUCACCAAGACCGUGAUGCAUAGCCGACCUGAGAGGGUAAUCGGCCACACUGGGACUGAGACACGGCCCAGACUCCUACGGGAGGCAGCAGUAGGGAAUCUUCCACAAUGGACGAAAGUCUGAUGGAGCAACGCCGCGUGAGUGAAGAAGGUUUUCGGAUCGUAAAACUCUGUUGUUUGGAGAAGGAAUGUAUCUGAUAGUAACUGAUCAGGUAGUGACGGUAUCC